RNAcentral lists this ribosomal RNA (468 nucleotides) under uncultured bacterium. Its description in RNAcentral is "partial 16S ribosomal RNA". It matches the Rfam family "Bacterial small subunit ribosomal RNA", at positions 28 to 507 of the family's 1533-position model. The record is from RNAcentral.
GACGAACGCUGGCGGCGUGCUUAACACAUGCAAGUCGAACGGAAAGGCCCUGCUUUUGUGGGGUGCUCGAGUGGCGAACGGGGGAGUGACACGUGAGUAACCUGCCCUUGACUGUGGGAUAACUUCAGGGAACUGGGGCUAAUACCGGGGAGGAGCUCCUGCUGCAUGGGGGGGGUUGGAAAGUGUCGGCGGUGGGGGAUGGACUCGCGGCUUAUGAGCUGGUUGGUGGGGUAGUGGCUUACCAAGGCUUUGACGGGUAGCCGGCCUGAGAGGGUGACCGGCCACAUUGGGACUGAGAUACGGCCCAGACGCCUACGGGAGGCAGCAGUGGGGAAUCUUGCACAAUGGGCGGAAGCCUGAUGCAGCAACGCCGCGUGCGGGAUGACGGCCUUCGGGUUGUAAACCGCUUUCGCCUGUGACGAAGCGUGAUUGGCGGUAAUGGGUAAAGAAGCACCGGCUAACUACGUG